CCCUUUGGCUGCGCCCGCGGAGCAGCCCCGUUGCGAUUGGCCGUACGCGGGGGGCGGUAGUCCCGUGUCCGCCCGCCCCUCGGGCCUCGAGAGGCGCCGGGAUCGUGGGCGCGGGCUGAGCCAGCGGCUGCUGGGUGGCUGUGUCCGCAAGCCGGCGGGGCGAGGCGGCCCGGCCCAGCGCGUCAGGCCUGAGAACUGGGAGGAAGCUGGAGAAAAGAUGCCCUCUGAAUCUUUCUGUUUGGCUGCCCAGGCUUGACUUGACUCCAAAUGGUUGCAAACAGAUAUACAGAUGAUAGUGUUGAACAAAGUGGAACAAAGAAAGAAGAUCUGGAUGACAGAAAAAAGAUGAAGAAGAAACUCCUACACCUGUAUAUAGCGCCAAGUGAAUUCUGGACAGCUGGGUAUGGGGCAAGCAACCAGCAACCACUUUUCAAAAAGAAGAAAGAUGAGAGCAAGAUUAAGAGAAGGACGAGGAGGAGAAAGAAGGAAGCAUGUUUAUUUUCUGCAAUCUAUAAAAGCACACAGUUCAUCCAGAAAUUGCAGAAUUGCAGAGGAUUAGAUAGACAUCAUUCUGAAAGUCUUCCUUAUAGCGAUGGAGUCUUACUACCUUGCAAAGGCUGGUCUCAAACUCCUGGACUCAAGUGGUCCCUCUGCCUUGCCCAGCGCAAAGCUCAUUUUUAAUGAACACAGGAAGAAAAUAUGACAAAUAUAAAAUAAGUAGAACACCCCUGAAAAGCAAAGGGAAGCUUGGCAGAGGGAGGAGACAAGGAAUGGGCCCUCUGAAGCAACGAAGAUCUGUCUUCCAGUGAUACUUAAAACAGCUGAACUAUUCUUCUGUUUUACAUUCUGCUUUGACAGCAAGCCUGCUCUGCAGAGAAAGAGAGAGAGAGAUCAUUUCUUAAUGCCGAAUACAGCAGAACAGUAGUUAAAAUGAUAAAUUUAUUGGGGGGGGGCAGAUUUUUGAGGAGUAAUGAAAAAAAGGCAAGUCACAUUUCUGCAUUUGGUUUUCAUUUACGUCUAUUUUGCUGCUUUAAGUAAAUUGAGUGAUUUGUUUGGACGGAGAAAGUAUUUUAAAAAGACUUUGUUCAGACUCAUAGUAAAUAAUUGUGACUUCCAAUUUUCAAUUCUAAAUCUUAUAAAAUGUAGCUCCACCAAGUUCGUUUAACAUCAUACCAACGCAUAAAAAUAAAGCUUGUAAAAAUACAAUAUAGGCAUUGGCUCUGAGUUAGCAGUUGCUAAUUAAACAUAUUUUCGCUUCCUGGUUCUGGUGAUCCAACAGACCAAAUGUGGUAGACAAACUUUGUUCCACAGCUUUGAAGUCUUCUCUCUAGUUUCCCCCAACUUAGAAAAAAUAUACUAUUUAUAAAAGUGCAUGAAUUGUAAUUUAAGUUAAAAAAAAGCCUUGAAAUUUUUAUCAAAAGUGUUCAAAUUACUCUCUCCCCAGGUCAGUUAAUGAGUUGUCAGGAGCUGGCCCCUUACUGUAGUGCACCUCCUGCAGACUAAGACAGUUAACUAUGUUUUCAUCAAAGGAAAUGCUCAUUAGUAGAGCUUUCAGAAACUGAUUUGAUUAUAGUUUCACUUGCUAAAGUGAAAUAUUCUGAGCUCAUUAGGAUGAUUAUGAUUCAAGGUCAUUGUUUGAAGCCAGUCCUGUCAAUAUAAGAGAAAUGGGCCCUCAUCUUUUUCCCUUCUUUACGUCUGUGCUUUUUAAACUCUUCUGUGUAAAAGUUCCACAGCCAUAAUUAAUUUUUAGUUCUUCUGUUACAAAGCUGCUUAAAAGAAAAGAACAAAGAUUUUGGCUACCAAAAAGGCCUUGAAGAACUAUUAAGGGGUGGAGGAGGCUAUCUUGUUUUAGAAAAAUCAGAGAAAAACCUUGAAAAGUUCAGCUUUUGAUAUCCAGCUAUUUUCUCCUUGACCUUUCCAAAGUUUCAAAAUGGUACUUUGUACAUAAUUUUGCAUGUACCCUUUCAUCUCAAAAGUAUAAAACUAACUGAAAACCACCCAAGAACUACCAGUGGCUUAAUUAAACAUCUCCUCUUUUAUGGCACAAGAUGGAGUUAACACCUUUUAAAGUUCUUUCUUUUUUUUCUUUUCUAAAUCCAGCACUUAAAUCUCUGAGUGUUAAAGAGCCAGUUAGACAUUAAGGGAGGUGAAGUUAACUUCUAUUAGCCAGUCAUUCUAACAUGAGUUUGCCCCUUAAACUUCCUUGGUCAAAUAUUACCUUUUCCUUUAACACUAAGGAGAGGUUACAAUGAAAGUAGAGCUUGUUUUUUGGGUUUUUUUAAACCUCCUGUAUGUUAUAUUUUGGAAAAAUGUUUUAAUCUUUCAGACAUUUGGCUCUUCAAUACCUUUUACUAGGAUUCAAGGCUACACUGAACUUGAGAGUAGAUGACAUUUAAAAAGUUACAAUCGAUUUGAUCUUUUUACAUAAUUCAUUAUUUUUAAAAUUGUUUUUCUCACUUUUGUGGACAACUGAUGAUUCAAACUAAUCUCUGGUUUUCAAUAAUGCACUUUCACAAUUAUUUCUAAACAAAUGAUUUUAGCUUUUAAGAUAUUGUUUAAUAACCAGAAAUGUUAGUAUCCAAACGUGCAAUACUGUGAAACUGAAUCAAAGGUUGCUCAAUAUAUAAUUAUUUAAGAACAGACAUGAACCUUGAAGCAAUUAUUUGUUUAUUGUCACAUGUACCUAAGGGCCUCUUCUACCAUGAAAUUUAGAAUAUAAUUAUGAAAAUAAGUUUAUGUCCGUGGUAUGCUUUCCCGAAAGUCUCUUAUAUACCAAAUUAAACUAUGCAUAUUUAAAAAAAAAAACUAAAGCACACAAUAUGUAGUGACUAAUAGAAAUAAUAGGGGAAAUGUACUUCAGUAGCAAUAUAGUGCCAGAGUGUAUGGUUGCAACUGCAGAAGAUAGCUUGAGUGUAUUAAGCUCCUUCAAAAUGUGAUGAGAGAAUGAUGUAUUAGGAGGAUCCCAGAGGCAUCUACAGUGAAUUAGCAGAGUAUCAAUUUCAAAUUUCUUUCCCAAAUUGCUUUGAAGACUAUUCUUGUAUUAAAGAAAAAAAAUCAUGGCAUUUGUUAAGACAAUAAGAAAGAUUUUAUUCAAAGGGUGGUAUUACAAUAGGCAUAGGGAUCACUGAAAGGGGAUUUUUCAGUAAGAGAAAGAGAUUGUUUUAGGUCUAACAUUUAAGUCUUUAAUCCAUCUUGAAUUAAGUUUUGUAUAAGGUGUAAGGAAGGGAUCCAGUUUCAGCUUUCUACAUAUGGCUAGCCAGUUUUCCCAGCAUCAUUUAUUAAAUAGGGAAUCCUUUCCCCAUUUCUUGUUUUUUUCAGGUUUGUCAAAGAUCAGAUGGUUGUAGAUGUGUAGUAUUAUUUCUGAGGGCUCUAUUCUGUUCCACUGGUCUGUAUCUCUGUUUUGGUACCAGUACCAUGCGGUUUUGGUUACUGUAGCCUUGUAGUAUAGUUUAAAGUCAGGUAGCAUGAUGCCUCCAGCUUUGUUCUUUUGGCUUAGGAUUGUCUUGGCAAUGCGGGCUCUUUUUUGGCCAUAGGCAUGGGCAAGGACUUCAUGUCUAAAACACCAAAAGCAAUGGCAACAAAAGCCAAAAUUGACAAAUGGGAUCCAAUUAAAGAGCUUCUGCACAGCAAAAGAAACUACCAUUAGAGUGAACAGGCAACCUACAGAAUGGGAGAAAAUUUUUACAAUCUACUCAUCUGACAAAGGGCUAAUAUCCAGAAUCUCCAAAGAACUUAAACAAAUUUACAAGAAAAAAAUCAAAAACCCCAUCAGAAAGUGGACAAAGGAUAUGAACAGACACUUCUCAAAAGAAGACAUUUAUGCAGCCAAAAGACACAUGAAAAAAUGCUCAUCAUCACUGGCCAUCAGAGAAAUGCAAAUCAAAACCGCAAUGAGAUACCAUCUCACACCAGUUAGAAUGGCAAUCAUUAAAAAGUCAGGAAACAAGAGGUGCUGGAGAGGAUGUGGAGAAAUAGGAACACUUUUACACUGUUGGUGGGACUGUGAACUAGUUCAACCAUUGUGGAAGACAGUGUGGUGAUUCCUCAAGGAUCUAGAACUAGAAAUACCAUUUGACCCAGCAGUCCCAUUACUGGGCAUAUACUCAAAGGAUUAUAAAUCAUGCUGCUCUAAAGACACAUGCACACGUAUGUUUAUUGCGGCACUAUUCACAAUAGCAAAGACUUGGAACCAACCCAAAUGUCCAUCAUGAUAGACUGGAUUAAGAAAAUGUGGCACAUAUACACCAUGGAAUACUAUGCAGCCAUAAAAAAUGAUGAGUUCGUGUCCUUGGUAUGAACAUGGAUGAAGAUGGAAACCAUCAUUCUGAGCAAACUAUCCCAAGGGCAGGAAAACAAACACCACAUGGUCUCACUCAUAGGUGGGAAUUGAACAAUGAGAACACUUGGACACAGGGUGGGGAACAUCACAGGGUGGGGACUGUCGUGGAGUGGGGGGAGACAGGAGGGAUAGCAUUAGGAGAUAUACCUAAUGUAAAUGAUGAGUUAACGGGUGCAGCACACCAACAUGGCACAUGUAUACAUAUGUAACAAACCUGCACGUUGUUCACAUGUACCCUAGAACUUAAAGUAUAAUAAAAAAAAAAAGAGAGAGAUUGGACUCAAUUUCAAAUACUGCAUGAAUUAGGGGGAAUUUAUAGCCAAGGAGCAGGGUGUGGGUCAGUAGGUGAAAAGUAAUUAAGAGGAAACAUCAUAGUGAAGAGAGAAUGCUGGCUAAACCGACUUAGCAGAAUUUUUGCUGAAGACAGGGCAGGGCGAACAGACAUCACCUUGGAGAUGGUGGAGGAUAAGGAACCAAAUUAGACAUGGAGGGUGACUAGAUAGCAAGGGUGAGAGGUUCUGGUAAACUGACUUAGCAGGAUUCCUGCUACAAUUGGACAGUACAGAGGUAAACAUGGAAGUCCAAAACUCAGGCCUAGUUGAAAAAGUUCAGGGGAGCCAGAGUAGAGUUCAGUCAAGGAAAGGAUCUUUGUUCCUUGUGUCUGUCUUUUGUCCUCAUCCCCACUUUUAACUGUGACAUCAUAUUAUUUCCUAAUUAGCCCUUAUCACAGUCGGUAAGCAUUGCGUUUGUUUGUUUGUUUGUUUAUCAUAUAUCUCUUUCAAGUAAGAUUUUAACUCCCCAAGGGCAGAAAAAUAAUCUAUUUUGGUCACUGAUACAUCCCCAUUGCCCAGCACCAAAUCUAUGGAAAGUAGGCACUCGGAUUCAUUUGUUAAAUGAAUUAAUAAAUAAAACCACAGAUCAAUUUUUUAUUUGGUCUUUGCAUUUUGGGUCUUCUUUGCAUCUUGCAUUAAAAUGAAUCUCCUUGAGCACAUAGACUCAAUUGACUUCUUACUCAAAUACUCUAGACAAGAGAUAAUGAAAACUUGUUCCACGGUAGGGACAGUGGGACUGGAUAAGAGAAGAAUAUGUAAGAGGUAAUUAAGAAUGAGGGACAAAAAAUUUUGAGAAACUAUUGGCUGAGAGCUGGAGGGAGAGGAAGGAUAAAAUGAUGAACCUCAGUUGUCUGCCUUGGACUACAGGGUGGGAAAUGAUCCAUUGAUUAAAAUUAUGAACAACAUGACAAAAGUCAUGGUGGUAGUGUGUGGUCGCAUAAGACAAUUAGUUCUAUUUUAAAAUUACAAGAUUGAUUUUGAGAAGUUUCUGGAAUUAUAAGUGUUCUUUGCUAACAGUGUUGAAACUCUCCAAUGUGCCUAAAAAAGUAAAGUAUUCAAAGCGAAAGCAGGAUUUUUACUUCUGGAAAGAUAAAGUCAUGUGAUUAAAAAAAAAAAAGAGGAGGGAAUAAAAGUGGAAGAAGAGAGAAUGGCAAAUAUGGAAAAAUAACUCAUUUAUUUCUUAGGGUAAAAGUUAUUCCUAGGCACCAUUUUGAAUUAGCUGACAUUCGAAACUGUUCCACUUUAUUUUUCACAUUUUUAUUUUAUGUUUGUUACCUCUCAUCCUGAAUAACCCAUUUCAUCAUGCUACAGUAAGUUCCCACACACAUACUCCUCACCCUAGCAAUUUAUCAGAACAUCCUGGUUCUCAGGCAUUCUGGGCUUCAUCUCUUAUUUCAUUCUCUGUUUUAUAUAUACAACCAAAUAUCUCAUUGUCUUAGUGUAUCUAACUUCUCUCAAUUUGUUAACAGUGUAGCAGUCAUGUUUAUAAUUCACCCUAAAAUAUGUAUAAACAACUUCUACAGGCACUGAUAAUAACAACAACAACAAUAAUAAUAGUACCUAGUUUAAGUAGAGUGAUGUCACUGGGUAAAGUCCCUUGGCGGUCUGCCAGAGACUUCACUGGGCAGGUAACUUUGUAAAUUUGCUACAGACCAAAGUCACCUUGGUAGCAAAGUGAAUAUCUUAUAUUUGGGCUCUCACAAUUCAGAUCAUUAGAUUGAGACAUGUCAAAAUACCAAUGACAUAAAAGAGUAAUGCAAGUAUGAAUGUUUGUGUUUGGGUAGUCAGCCUAUCUUCUUUCUACCUGUACUUAGUACUACACUGAAAGCUAAACUGUAAUUAGAAGAUAGUUUGGAGGCUAAGGAAUCAGAAUAAAGGGAGAUUUUCAACUUAAUUGAAUGGUAAAUGACAUUGGGUUAUGGAAGCUCAAUACAUCAUUUCCCAAUAUAUCUUUUGUCUCAGAUUUCUGAUUGUUACAGUGUCAGAAAAAUCUAUGCAUAAAAAUUGAAAAAAAUUGGCCACAAUGGGAAAGCAUUUCCAAGCAGAGGAGCUGCAAUGAGGAUGAGUAAUUCUGCCUGAGGGCUACUUCCCACUCCACCACAUCCCCAUUGGUCUGUUCCCCAUGCUUGCCCUUUUUGAGGCCUUAUAGGCAUUCACCUCUUCUUUCCAUUUAGACUAAUUGACAGCUGCCAUCAUUUGUGGUAGUCUCCUUCUGCUGUGUGUCCUUAAAGUUUUCUAUUAAUACUUAGAAUUAACCUCUCAUCUUUAUCUCUAAAGAGAACAUACGGGUUGAUUGUUGUUUUUGUAAGAUUUAUUGGCAAUGAAUUCAUAUCCCUUUAAUAUUUUUGUUUCCCCUGCAGAAAGAUGAGCAGUCAAAUCUGAAAAUUGUUUAUUUGAUUGAAAUAGCAUUGUAAAAUUUAUACUCUUUGAGUUAACAUGUGCACUUUUUAACAAUUCUUUUCAAAUUAUGAGAGAAGAUAGUGUUUUUUUAAUCUUAAAAAAUGACUUUACAUAAACAAUAAGAAAGACUCCUGGCCAUAAUCUUGGUGAUGUGUGAGGAUACUGCUGUUUCUACAUAAAUACAUCUAUUAAAAUACAUCUUUAGUAUAACUAUGAAAAAGAAACUUAGUGCCAAGGCCAGGAACAAACAAGCAAAGAUAAUAAAGUUGGUGGAAAGGCAACUUAAGAAAACAGCAUAUGCAAAGGUAUGGGAGCAAAACAGAGCAGAGCAUUUUCAAUAGCCAAAGGGAACUGAGUGUGAGGGUGAAGAAAGGGUG
RNA transcript from Pongo pygmaeus (Bornean orangutan), 7448 nucleotides. It is a transcript of the gene named golgin subfamily A member 6-like protein 1, with no coding region annotated. The record is from RefSeq and is a predicted model, not a curated record. The transcript is spliced from 6 exons. NCBI's taxonomy places the organism in Eukaryota, Metazoa, Chordata, Mammalia, Primates, Hominidae.